Molecule: long non-coding RNA, 346 nt
Filed under: Cricetulus griseus (Chinese hamster)
Lineage: Eukaryota; Metazoa; Chordata; Mammalia; Rodentia; Cricetidae
Description: lncRNA (ENSCGRG00000026255.1)
Source: RNAcentral
AGGAGCCACACACUAAUUCUUUCUUUCUAGACAGAAAUAUGAAGUCAUCCAUGUCUGUAAUACUUGUGGUGGGUCAACUCUUCUUCUAGAAUGAGGUUGUGGAAUGUCAGGUUUCCAGGCCUGAGAACUGGCACACAACACUUUGCUUCUUUCUAGGUUGAUGCAAAGGCUUGGGUAGCAAACCUGAAUUAGAAGGCUCAAGUAAAUAGUGACCUCUUUGUUUCAUCAAAGCUUGUCUCCAACACCAAUGCAGAAGAAUGAUAAAAACACCAUGAUCUCCAGAUGGGCAAGUACCAGCUUCCAUGAGGAGGAAGUCUUUGGUUGGUUGGAGUCUCGCCAAAAUUCC